GGUCUCCUCCACGCCGAGCCUCGGAGAGCAGGGGCUUUGCUUUUCCGGCUGAGGUGUUCAAUAAACAUCUCUUAAACAAAGGAGUGCGCAAGUGAGAUAAUAUAAGGGGGAUGCCCAACUAUACAACAAAGAGUUGCCAAACAUUUCUCUGGAGCAAAUAAAUGGUGUGAUGGAUGGAACUAACUGGAUCACCAACCUGUGAGAGAUGGCUGGUUCACUGGCCUUGGCCUCCUCGGGCCAUGACAUUAAUUCACUGGCUCCACCCUCCACCCUGUUCUAUGGCCCUGGGCGUGACUUGCUCUUGCCCCUUGCCUUCUGUUUGGAUCCUGCCAAUGAGGACUCCUAGCAGGAGAUGGGGGCUCUCAUAUUUAACUGAAAGGCUCAGCUCCACGCAGCGUUUCUGUCUCCAGCCCACACAGCACGAUGAGAUAAAGACUAGAGGCUGCUCACUGCUGAGAGUGGACCAUCCAGCUCAUUUGGUCACAUAAUUUCCAGCCAGCCACCUUAUGGGCAAGAUUUUGGCUCACCUGUAAGCUAUUAGCUGGAAAAUACUGGCUUCAUGAAAUGGCUUGGAAGAUUUGGAGGCAACCUAAAUGUCCAUCAACAGAUGAAUGGAUAAAGAACAACAGGGUGACUAAAGUCAAUAAUAAUUUAAUUAUACAUUUA
Molecule: long non-coding RNA, 666 nt
Filed under: Homo sapiens (human)
Lineage: Eukaryota; Metazoa; Chordata; Mammalia; Primates; Hominidae
Description: non-protein coding lnc-SQOR-1:8
Source: RNAcentral